UGUAAUAUAACAUAAAAUUAAAGUCAAUUAAAUAAUAUUUAAAAUAUUUUAAACAGCUUUAUACUGGUGAGAGUGAGGUUUUUGGCCUGUCCCUCACUAUAAUAGUUUUACUUCAGCAGGACUUUUAAUUUGUAAAAAAUGAAUCUAAAAAUCCAAAAAUUAAAUAUUAAAACAAAAACAAACAAAGAAACAAACGAUAAAUAUGCAGAAAUAUGAACGUUUCCAUUUCCAUGACACCUGGGCUAACCCUUCUUCAGCUGAAGAAGAUCAUGUGAUUUGAUCAAAAGCUCCAGAACAGCAACUAAACUGACCUGUUUCUUGUCAAGCCUGAAUGGGAUCAUUUAGAUAACCAAUCAGGUUACGUUCUAUCAGUCACAUGAUCCAAGAAAGAAACAUUUAGGAGUGACUGAAUUAAAGUUUUUGAAAUUACAAAAAAUCUAAAAAAAAAAAAAUCAGAAUAAAAAUAGCGCCCAAACUACAUGAACUCAGACAGAUUUUGUUUUUUUUUUAAAUAUUUCAAUACCAUUAAUUCAGUCACAUUUAAACUUAAACAUUAGGUGUUCAGCCACUUGUUAAAAAUUGAAAUUAUUUUGACAUUAUCAGUCAGCCAGUAUCAGUCGAGCUCUGAUGUUUUAACUUCAGAUUAUACUCAAAAUACAAAAUCAUUAAUUCAACAAAAUCUGUCUCCAAUCGAUCAAUAAUUUCGUGCAUGCCCCGAUAUUUCACAAACAAACUGAUUCAGAACUCUAUGAUUUAUUGCACAGUGAAAUGUCAGGUCACCUCCUGCUGAGUUUAAGUCUCCAUAAUUAGCCAUGACAUGAAAGCACCUUACUCAUCUGGACUCGAUGGACUAAUCACUCAACCAAACCUGAUGAAAACAAAAAGAGGAGUUCUUGAACAAACUGAGGGGAUUAAAAUGGUCCCAGCAGACGUCACGUGUUCACCGUCCUGUUGGAUUAUUAGCUGAUGGAUUGAUGGAUGGAGGCCUGAUGGAGUUUAACUGCUGAAUCAUCGACACAGACGGAUUGAUGGACGGGAGGACGGACGGCUCUUCAGCUCAGAUGACCAAUGGAAUCAGUACACCGAGGGCUGGUCACACAGAGAGGUGCAGAACGAUGAGUCACACCUCCACCUCAUCAAACCAAAAGAGUACGCCAUCCCUGCUUCCCCCGCACCUCCUCCUCCUGCUCCUCUUCCUCCUCUUCUUCCUUCCUCUGAUGAAGGUGAAAUAAAACAAACUCUGGAUAAAAACACUGACACUCAUAGAGAACACGGAGCUAUGAGACGCCUUUCCAUUACAAGAGGACACCCUGACUGAUUUUUGCACAGAGCAAAGCUACAGUGGGACUCUGAGGUACGACAAAUGUUACUUGAAUCAUCUGCAACAUAUAUUUACAACAUGUCUGCUGGCUAACGGAGUCCUCCAUAUAUUCACGAAUAGAUGUUUUUUGGGAGACUGCUCCUGUUGCUGUAGAGAAAAAGAAACUUGUAAGUCCUUGUCUGUACGUUGCAUAUCAUAUUCAAACCAAAACAUAUUAUUGCAUGCUUGGAAAGUAGAGCAUGUAAACAGAAGAAAACAAGUCUGACUUUUGUGUUGACGGCUCAACCCAGCACCGCUAAUCUGAAACAUGGGAACAACAACAACAACAACAACUCAUCAAUAUCAAGUUUAUUGAGAUAAUUCUGUUCGACUGGUGGAGUUAGUUGCUAAAUCUAUAUUUUUUAAAGUGUCAUACUGUAUAUGUUUUAUAUGGAGAGGAAUUAGUUAAUUAUUUUGUAGAUUUUUAACAUUUUUGCUAACGUGUUUUUAUUUUAUUUUCUUGUUUUUUCUUUCUUUUUCUUUUUUUUGCCUUGGUAAAAACAAAGCAGCUCCAGAGGGCAGCUCUGAUGAAAAUGUCUACUUUAAAAAAAAGGAAAAAAAAACCUGCCCCUAUAUGAAGAAUGUUCGUGUGGAAAAUUAACAAAAAAAAAAAAGAAACGCAUUUAUCGCAGACAUUUGACAUCUGAUUUUCUUUGAAUAUUUUUGAUUGUGUUUGGCUUUUGAUCAGAAUGCUGUAUAUCUGUUAUUAUCGAUAACAUCUACCUCAGUGUCCGCUCAUUAAUGACAGAAGCUUUAACACCUGAGUGAUGUCAGUGUCCUUGUGUUAUCUGAACACUGUCAUCAGACCUGGAUUAAGUAUUUAAAUGCCUCUCGAAUUUUCUGGUGCAAUUCAUGAAACGCAAACACUCUAUAAACUGCCAUUUGAUAACUCAGAGAAGCCCCAAAAAAUGCUAAAGACGCUCCAGGAUAUGUAAACAAAACCACAUUAACUAGGGUUGAAUUACAUGAAUCCUUUUAAUAAAUAUCAGAUGUCAUCCAGCCUGACUUCAGCAGAACAGCUAAGAGCCUGACAGCACCAUUUUCUUUGCACAUUUUAAUUUACUGGUGAAAUUGUUUCAGAAGUCUGUGUGAGCGAAUGUGACUGUUUUUGAAUUAAUGGUUGAUUUAAGGGCAAUAAUGUGUUGCAGAAGUUUCCUACCAUUAAUAAAUGGAGUGGGUCAGCCUGUCUUAAAACUGUAAAACCUAAACAAAGUAGUUUGAGGUUUUAAUGGAAAUUAAGUUUUAUGUCAGCUGAUGGUCCAAAAUGCUGUUUCAGUGGUUUUAUCAACCCUGACAAGAGCCCAAUCCUCGGGUGACGUUUAUUUCUUGUAAAUUUCAGACACGUAAUUGGUGACACUUGUGGGAAGAAUUUUGGAAAGCCUGUUUCAAAUUUGAGAUGGGACAAUGGAUUCUAGUUUCGCAGCACUGAUAUCAGUUUCUAGGAUGUGUUUAGCCUAGCUUAGCAUAAAAGCAGGAAGCAAAUGAAAACUGCUAGCCUAAAAAACAACUUAGAUUCAGGAUCAGUUAGCACUGGCGCUACUUUGCGACCAACAACAGCCAUGAUGAAAGUGAUCAAACUUAGUAGUAGUUUAACAUAUUUGAGAUCCAGAGACUUAGCUGGCUAGGUUGUACAUGCUAACGUUAAAUGUUAUUAAAGCCACCAAUUAUAUAAAUUACUGGACAACUAUCUGGCAACGUUAGCUAGCUUGCAGCACUGACUAACAUUAUAGAUAAAGACAUCUUAAAUUUUCACUGUAAAGAAAAUGAUCAGUUUUUGUAGAUUAAUUAUGAGUUGCUAGCUGACGUUAAUUGAAUGAAAUGUUGACAUGAAAUGUUGGCGCUGCAGGGGGUGGCGUCACUCUGUGAUGUUAGCCCGGUUAUUCCUAGGCGUAUACCAAGGCACCUGUAGCCUAGCUUGGCAAAGACUGGAAGCAGGCCGAAACUGCUAGCCUAGCUCAAAAAAUUAAUUCACUUUUCAUUAUAUAAUGAUUAUUGAAAAGGUGUAUGAAAAGAAAUGUAACAAUGACAUAUUGUGGUUUUAAAAGUAGUUGCCAUUGCAGCUAACUUAUCUGUUGACCAAUGACUGCUAGCAUCGCAAAAGUCCCAUCUUUAUGGUCGGGUCGCCUAGUUUUAGCUCACUCUCAACUCUACGUGCUUGUAGCUAGCAAUCUUAUUUUUAUUUUAUUCCUACAAUAUGUAAUAACGCUACUUUGUUAUAGAGUGGUGCAGAAAUGAGUCCUAAAACCCAGAAAUGAGUUAGCAUUUUAGCACUACAUGCUCUUGUCUUAAAGUCAAUGGGUUUUUGUUAAGCUGCCUGAAAUAACAUCUGUCUGUGGUUAACACAAGCCUAAGAGACUACGGCCAUAAAAUACGUCAGCAAAUUCCCCCUGUCAUAAAUUUUGAAGCUUUUAUACAUCUUAAAAAGGGCGGUUGUUCGCAAGUGGCUAAAUGAGACCUCAGAACGUUGUCAUGCCAAACACAGCUUUAAAGCCUUGUUGUGCUGGCGACAUUGAAUCAUGAAACUGUAGUGUAGUUUGCUUAUAGUCUAACUUUAGCUUUUUACUUUUGGCGAUUCAUGUGAAACUCCAAAAGUUAUAAAAGUUAAUUUGUGAAUUUUAUCUGAUUGAACAAAAUGUGUAUCAUUAAAUUCCAUUGGCUUUCUGACAAAGGAAACAGGGCAAAGUUAGCUUCCGCGUUGGCCGAUGAAGAAACGUCAUCCCUACAAAAUUUGGUCACUUGAUCAACCACAGGCAAACAGUUUCCUCCUGCUUCCAGUCUUUGUGCUAAGCUAGGCUAAGCACCCCCUGGACCAUCUAGAGAUGCACAAAAUGAUGCCCAGUCCAUCUUCUCACCUGAUUCUGGGGAAGAUGAUGAACAAAAUCAUUCCCCAAAAUGCUUAACUUGUUUUUAUCAUUGUCACAAAUCAGUGAAACUGGUCUGUAAAAACUUGUAUCCAUCAAACCCGAGCAUCAACUCUGCAGUUUGGUCUUGUUGUAAUUCUGCUUUGCUUAGACAUAAAAACAGCCGAGGGUGAUUUCUGGUUGACAGAGGCACUGAUGAGCUGUGACUCAGCAUUAGUGGUGAUGAUUAAUGUAUUCUGUAUGUGCAACAAUUAAAACAGCAUUUCCCCUGUGAGUGCAGCAAUGUCCUUGUGACUACAUUUCAGCCAGGUCAGAUCACGUAAUAUUCACUACAUGUAACAUCUAUUCAUUCAUUCAUUCAUUCAUUCAUUCUCGACUGCAGAGUUCAGUUUCAGGCUUGUCACCAAAUUGUCUCAUUUUCAUGCAAAAAGAGGACGAAGCAAUAGUGUGAGUGAUUCCUGUGCUCUGGGAACUUCAGUGUGGAAGCAAAAUGCAUUUUUGAUUUCUUUCCUUUUUUCCCCUGUUUUUUAUUUCCAGUUACUGUUGCUAUUUUUAUUUUGUCAAUCUUCAAUUGUGAUCUAUUUUUGAUAAAAUAAAUAUUUUAUCCUGA
Non-coding RNA from Epinephelus lanceolatus (giant grouper), 4831 nucleotides. NCBI's taxonomy places the organism in Eukaryota, Metazoa, Chordata, Actinopteri, Perciformes, Serranidae. The record is from RefSeq and is a predicted model, not a curated record.